UACAGAGGUCCCAAGCGUUGUUCGGAUUCACUGGGCGUAAAGGGUGCGUAGGUGGCCAGGUAAGUUCGGUGUGAAAGCUCGGAGCUUAACUCCGAAAUGGCAUUGAAUACUAUCUGGCUGGAGGGUCGGAGGGGAGACUGGAAUUCUCGGUGUAGCAGUGAAAUGCGUAGAUAUCGAGAGGAACACCAGUGGCGAAGGCGAGUCUCUGGAUGACUCCUGACACUGAGGCACGAAAGCUAGGGGAGCAAACAGG
RNAcentral lists this ribosomal RNA (253 nucleotides) under uncultured bacterium. RNAcentral's name for it is "partial 16S ribosomal RNA". It matches the Rfam family "Bacterial small subunit ribosomal RNA", at positions 524 to 776 of the family's 1533-position model. The record is from RNAcentral.